Brassica oleracea var. oleracea is the source of this 1365-nucleotide long non-coding RNA. RefSeq lists it as uncharacterized. The transcript is spliced from 4 exons. The record is from RefSeq and is a predicted model, not a curated record. Lineage: Eukaryota; Viridiplantae; Streptophyta; Magnoliopsida; Brassicales; Brassicaceae.
UUUAGUUGAGUUUUGGUCUUCACGCUUUACUCAAGUGACCGAGCCCAAUAUUGAGUAACCUUUAUCUCCUCUACCGCGUCUGAUCGAAAUUUAGGGUUCUUCUAUUGGUGGAUUCGAUUAGGCCGGUUGAGAUUCUUCUUCAUUAGUCGAAAUGCCUCCGUUUCAUCCCAUUUAACCUCUUCUUAACUCGAACAAUCACUAUAUAGAGCCAUCAAUGUGAAGUUCCGUCUUGCGAGGCGGUGUAUCUGCCCGUAUAAAAACCAACCAUUAAACUUAUUUUCUGAGAACUGGCUAGCGCAUCAAUUUUCCUUUUUGAUUUGAAGACUGGAUCGACGAUGCUCCUCCACCGUUGAAUUGCGGUUGAUCCGUUUCUGGGAGGCCAGGAACGUCUCGAGGCGGUGGCGAACUCAGGCGAGUGGAUAAGCUCAUACUGGAUUCACAGGCAACCAUUGCUGCGACUUGCUUGCUUGGAAAGCCUGCAAUGAUAAUCAUGACAUACCAGAAGAUGUAGAUAUAUCGUUGUAAAUCGAACCUUCAACUUGAUCACUUCUUGACGGUUGUAACAACUAUAAACGCAAGACGGGUCAAAGCAGAGAAUAUAUGCACACUCAUCAUGAAGUACGCAGAGAACCGGUUGCCACUAAUCGAAGAUGAUUUGGAAAUAAUACGAGGUUACACCGUUACAGGUCAAGAAACAUUGAGUUGCAGUUCAGUGUUGAACGAGAGAGAACAGAGGAAAGAAGUUUAGGAUGUUAAGAACAAAAGUGAGUCAUAGAAAGCUUAGUAAGUAUGCUUCAUACACAACCUGGAACAGUACCAUGCCAGUUUUUGUUGAGCUAGGCUCGCAUAUUUCGAUGGUGACUACCGGCCAAGCGCAGCAAAGGAUCUUAUAUAUAUACCAAAUAAGUCGAUAAGAAGAUGGCACAGAGAGAAAGAAGAAAGCAAUGAUCAAGAAAACAAUUACCAAAAAGGCUCUAAAAGCUUCUGGACAGACUGAUUUAUCUGGGAAUGCUUCCAAGGAUCUGCUGCAAAUGCAUAAAGUAAUCUUUACUUUCUAUAAAGUAAUUUACUAUCUUUUUUGUUCGUUUGUUUUCCUUUUGCGACAACUGAGGACUUUAUUGCUGUCCACUUGCAAACUUCUUGCACAUAUUGCUGUGCGGUGAUGGUAUCUUGAAUCGUUGGGUAUGCAGUCGGUGCAAAUACUGUCAGAUUUGUGAUAAGUGUUGAGGCUAUACAGAGGCGUGAAGACAUGAAGACAUCCUGUUAAUUUCAAUGAUACACGUACAUUAUAAACCGAUGUCCAAAUAUAUAGAAAUUUUUUUGUAAUGCUCAGGUUUAAUUAUUAGAAUAUGAUAUUUUUACUAA